CUAGUUAGGGGAGGCAGCCGGCCCGGAGGGUGUGGGGCUCCAGGGGCUGGCCGCUUUUCACUCGCCCGUAACUCCCGCCCUGCGCUCUGGUGUCCCCUCGGAUGCGGUGCUGACCGAGUGCCAUCCCGAUUUCACUCGACCGAGUCGGAGCCGCAGCCCACGGAGGAAGCUGCAAGGGCUGGGCAGAGUUCCAAGCGAGAGGGGCCGAGAGGCGCGAGCUGCGCUCCGCGGCGCCCGUCCGAGAGGUGGAGCAGCGGCCCCUUUGUGGGCCGGCACAUCCCCCUCCCGGGUGCACAGCGGGGACAUUUGAUCCGCGGGGUGAUUGAUACGUGCGGGCGGGGGCCGCCAUUCCUCCCUCCCCCUCUCCUUCCUCCUCCCCCCUCCGCCCUCCUUCCCUCCUCCCUCCUGGCUGCUCCCUCCUUGCUGCCAGAAGCGCUGCCCGGUGGCGAGCCGCUCCGGUGGGAUCUGCCUGCCCUUGGGGGCGCCGCCCGCGCUCGCCGCCAAGCCCUCGCUCCCCGGCCGCGCCGGUCCGAGGCCGCGCCGCCUCCCGCGCCUCCCGGUCGCAGAUGCUGCGGGCGCCUCCGGGGGAACCUCCGGGCGGCGCGCUCGCCGGAUGCCAAACUACUGGCGGACCGCAGAGGAGAGGGGUCCCGUCUUCUCCUGAUGUGUUUGCCUGUAGGUACCUGAGCU
RNAcentral lists this long non-coding RNA (690 nucleotides) under Sus scrofa (pig). RNAcentral's name for it is "lncRNA (ENSSSCG00070003840.1)". Lineage: Eukaryota; Metazoa; Chordata; Mammalia; Artiodactyla; Suidae. The record is from RNAcentral.